UCACUCUGCAUAGUAAUUUUAAUAUAAAAGGUUUAAACUUAUUUAUUUUGCCAACAUUUCUUACUUGUAUAUAGCCUAAAAAAUAGACAUCAGAAAUCUGUGGGAUAUAUUUUAUAAAUAAACAAGGUAAGAACAUAAAUUUUCAAACUCUGGUGGAGAAAUUAAUUCUCCAUUAAAGGGGUUCAAGCUAUUAGUAAUAAAACAGAAAUUAUAAGGAAUCCCUUCAUGAGAUGCAAGAAAAUAUAGAAUUUUAGCUGGAAAUGUACUGAUGAUGGUCUCUCAUUUCUUCUCCCAGAUAUGCAAAUAAUACAUCUCAGUACUUACUAGAGCCAAAUCUAUCUCAAAAGCAUUAAUAUUUCUCCUUUUUGCUAAUACUCAAUGAGACACAACACUUAGAAUAAAACUUUUUCCAUGAAUAAGGGAUAGUAAUAUCCACCUGUAAAAGGAAAAAAAAUGAUUUAGAAUAUUAACUUCUAAACAAAUAAAUAUAUUAACUUAGAGAGAUCAUAGUUUAUUCAAAUAUAAUCUUAUUAAUCCAGUAUGGCUAACCUGGACACAUAUCAAUAAUGAUACUUGAUGGCUAAAUGUACCUCUAAUUCUGUACAAUUAAAAGGAUACAUGAUUGAAGAAAAAAAAUCUUUACUGUUAAAUAUGGUAUUUAGUCUACAACCAAAAUUUCAAAUCUACUUUCACAUAUAAAUAUACGUGAUCUUAAGAGAUCUACAUAGUAUACAAAUUGAAUUGUUCAACUAUAAAAAUAUCCCUCUGGCUAUGUCCUGAAUACUUGCCUGUAGUCCUCUGAGUUAGCGCCAAACUCAAUCCAUAUUCCAAGUAAGAGAUUUAAGAUGCUCAAUACUGGAAUUACCUGGCAUCAAUUUAAACCUGAAUGAAAAGAUUAGCAAUUUUUUCCAAAGAAGGUGGAAAAAAUGAAAACUUAAUAUGUAAAAUAAAUGGCCAUAUUAAGAUUCACAUUAAAGAGGGAGUUCCCUGGUGGCCUAGAGGUUAGGACUUGGUGCUUUCAUGGCUGUGGCCUAGGUUCAAUCCCUGGACUGGGAAGUGAGAUCCUACAUCAGGCCGCUCCAUGCUGUGGCAAGAAAAAAAAAAAGACUGACAUUAUUAAACGUGUAAGUUUUAUUUUACUGUUUGCUCUCUGUGUUUCAAAAUUACACAAAAAUGGAAGCAUAUUAACUCUAACAAAAUUCUAAGUCCUGCUGAGUUACCUAGAUGUGUGUUUCAUUAGGUAUUGAUAGGUUAUUUCCUCUUAUUAGAGACUGGAAAGAUGCUACAUACUAUUAGAAUAAAUUUCAAUGCAACUGUUUUCUACAUUUUCUUACUCUCUCAAUAUUUCAAUUUUUUUCCAAUUCAUUCUCAGAGAUUAAAACAAGAAAAGUUUUUAUUUAGCCUCAAAUAAUCCUUUUUCACAUCUGAAGCAACUAAAUAUAAAGAUUUGCUUAGUAAAUACAAAACGGAGGUUUUCUGUCAUUUAAAAGACAGAUUAGACUAAAUAUAAUUUUCUAAAAUAUGACUUCAAAUACAUUAAGGAAAAUAAAAAAAAUAGAAAUCUAAUUCUUAGGUUGUUCUGGAAAGUGCUGGACUAACUUUUUAAUUCAUUUAUUUAUUUAAUACUUCUAAGUAUCCAUGUAUUACUUCCUGAAAUAUUUUUGGUGGAACCAAAUAUUAUCAUAUAUUUGUUACAGUCUUUCAUGAAAUAGUUGAGAUGAAAUAAAAAACAGGUUAAAAGGUUGAUGAAAAAGCACCAAGGCAAUAUUAUUUCCAUGUAAAAGCUGCCAUUUAAUUCUAGCCAAUAUGGUAUGUUACUUUGUUAUUUUGGGAAAAAAAAAUUUGCUGGAAAAAAGAUUUGGAGUUCCCGUCAUGGCUCAGUGGUUAACAAAUCCGACUAGGAACCAUGAGGUUGCAGGUUUGAUCCCUGGCCUUGCUCAGUGGGUCAAGGAUCAGCGUUGCUGUGAGCUGUGGUGUAGGUUGCAGACACGGCUCGGAUCCCUUGCUGCUGUGGCUCUGGCAUAGGCCAGUGGCUACAGCUCCGAUUAGACCCCUAGCCUGGGAACCUCCAUAUGCCGUGGGACGGCCCAAGAAAUAGCAACAACAACAAAAAAAGACAAAAAAAAAAAAAAAUUAAAAAAAAAAUGUAUAUUUUACAAUGUGUAUUUAGGAGUUCCCAUCGUGGCUCAGCGUAAAUGAAUCUGACUAGCAUCCAUGAGGACACAAGUUCGAUCCCUGGCCUCUCUCAGUGGGUUAAGGAUUCAGUGUGGCCAUCAGCUGUGGUGCAGGUCACAGAUACGGCUCAGAUCUGGUGUUGCUGUGGCUGUGGCCAUGGCCAGCAGCUACAGCUCCAAUUUGACCCCUAGCCUGGGAACCUCCAUAAGUCGUGGGUGCAGCCCUAAAAAGACAAAAACAAAACAAAACAAAAAAAAACCCAUACACACACACACACACACACACACACACACGUAUUUAUCUAUGAGAUGAGCAAAUAUCUUAAAGUAAUAUUUUACUAGAGAAACAAAGAGAAAACUAAAAUGUCUGUUCUAUCUGAAAUAAAAAUUGAAUAUACAGACCGAUUAUCAAUGUGCAUUAAAAUAACUUAACUGGUACCGUAUGAGCUCUUUCAAUAAAAUAUUAAUGGCAUUCAACACAAUCGUUAAAUUGCAAUUAUACUACUUUAAUAAACACAUCUAAAAAUACUAACUUAUUUUUAUAGAAUCACUAAAAACAAGAUUAUUGACAAUACUGAGAAUUACUUAUCAAAACUGAAAAAAACCUGCAAUAUUAAAAUAUAUUAGAAUAUGACUGUAGAGUAUGGCCAACCUUAC
RNAcentral lists this long non-coding RNA (2831 nucleotides) under Sus scrofa (pig). Lineage: Eukaryota; Metazoa; Chordata; Mammalia; Artiodactyla; Suidae. The record is from RNAcentral.